This 9474-nucleotide long non-coding RNA is filed under the name Gallus gallus (chicken). RNAcentral's name for it is "lncRNA (ENSGALG00010020326.1)". The record is from RNAcentral. Lineage: Eukaryota; Metazoa; Chordata; Aves; Galliformes; Phasianidae.
AUUACAAGCAGCUUCCUGCUGACAAAGCUUUGGAGGAAUAAUAAUAUCUGGAAUACUAUGGAAUUUGGGAAUAAUAAUACUGGGGGGGAUAAUAACACCCUUUAGGGAAUAAGGUUGUCUCUCUAUUUCAUACGACCACGACACAAAGCAGCUGUAGCUUCUUAUAUGUAGCAGGAAUUAGCAGCUUCUUCAAGGUCUACGUGCCAGUUCCAGUUGAAAUGUUCCCAGCGUGUGUUCUGGCACUGCAGAUGGGAUGGGGAUCUCCCUGCAAAAUAAAACAAGGGGAGCUUCCAGAUCUGCUGGAAAUCUCUCUGUUUCCUGUGCCUGGGAGUAAAUAGCACUCAGAGAUUUCACCUUGGCAUCUGCUCUUCCUCCUUCCAAUCACUUAAGGGCAGCCUCAACUGAGGAAUAAGCAGGAGGAGCUUGGAGACGAGAUCCAGGGCCUAUCCUCAUCUCUGUCACACUUAUAAAUCUGGAGAAAUUCCACUUGUUCCUUGAGGACACACAAGGAUUUUAUUACAGCAGUGUUGAAAACUGGAAUCUGGCACAUCAUAUUAACAUAAAAUGCAAGGGAAAAAUACCCAUCAACAAGCAAAGGGCAAUACAGAAAAUAGGUUUGUUACGAGCAAAUUUGAUGUGUUUGUUUUCUUCUUCUUUUUUUUUUCCUCUGCAUUAAUGCCAUCCAGGCCUCUCCCAUAUAUUCUCGAGGAAAUGACUUCGUUAUAUCAGAGAAAUAUAUUGAAAAUGAAAUCAGUGGUAGCACCAAAUGUGCCCAGACAUGACAAGACAUUUAAGUAACAACAGCAGAAUUCUAUCUCCUUUCCUGUUUGUUCCAUGUUAACUUAUGGAGAUUGGUGCUGACUUUCUGGAAUGGCUGCAGCAAGCUGUAAAUGAUGUAUGAAAAUGAAAUGAAAAUUCUCUGCCCAAGCCACUGUGCACAGCAAUUGCUGCUGAGCUGAAUUAAUAGCUAUUUGCUCCUGUUUGCUCUGACACGGGAUGGAGCCAGAGAAGCCAGUAGCAAAGAUAUUGGAGUACCCAUCCACAGGUAUCCUGGACAGGACUCCUGCUGAUCCUUCACUCCAUCUUCAGUGGUGCAGUCCCUUCAGAGAGGUGAAAAGGAGGAGACACAAAUGUUUUCAGCCCUUCCUGGAAAAGCCCAAGGGGUUCACUCACAGAAUCAUAAAAUAUCCCAAGUUGGAAGAGACCCCUCAGGAUUAUCAAGUUCAACUCCUGGCUCCACACAGGACCACCCAAAAAUCAGGCCCUGUGUCUGAGAGCUUUGUCCAGAUGCUUCUUGAACUCUGGCAUGAUUGGUGCCAUGACUGCUGCCCUGGGGAGCCUGUUCCAGUGCCUGACCACCCAAAGUAAUAAGUUAGGUAGCAGUGAAACCCACUCAGGCCCUCCUUUUUCAACCUCUGUUUCCUGUCUUUGUUUACUUACCUCGUCCCCAUUUUUAUCCAACUGUAUCUGUGUUGCAACAUCACCACCCCUGGGCAUUAGGGAUGUGCAGGUGAAAGAGGUUAAUGGGUGUAAUUAAGUGAGCACAUGUGUGUGGGUACAAUUAGCACCUGGUGAUUAUGGCGGUGAGGUGAUGGGCAUGGUGACAAAGGACAUUUCUGGUGACCUAGUUACUAAACGCUCUCUGGUAGUCAUGCUACAGUGCAAAACUGCAAACAGUGAUUAUUAAUACCAUUAAAAAUUCAUGCAGGCUCAGGUUCUGCAAAUGCUCUGCCAUGUGAGUGCUCUCUGUGGAGGUAAAGAGGGCACUACAGCAAGCAUGGAAAACCAAUGUGCAGGUUAACAGUGCACUUGCAAAGUGCCCCUCGGAGUUUUGGGCUUGACCCACCCCUGUGCUGAAUCCAGCAGCAUCCCAUCUCAGCAUCCCUCCCCUCCUGGAUGUUCACUAUGUAGCUGGCCCUCUGAUCCCUCCCUUGUUCAUUUUUGCAUGGGUAACAUGUGCAAGUGCAAACCAAAAACAACAGAAAUUAAAAAAUAAUACAAAUGCCCCUUUGUGUGAUACUCCUUCCCAGCCAAGAAGCAAAGGGAGAUGGGAUUUAAUUUAGGCCAAUCCUCUGCUGCAUUUCAGAUAAAGCAUUUUAAUCUAGUCCUAGGUUGAUAAAAAUACCCCUCUCUGAUCCUGCAGGCAACUUUUUCUGCCAAUUUUCUUUCCAGGGAGGAAGAGAGGAGGAAAUAUAAUUGAAAGAACACUGCUGCAUAGAAAAUGACACUGACGGAGUAAUGCACUUUGGAACGGUGUGCUCUGCCAGCUCCUUGUUUUCUACUAUUUUUUCCUCUUUUUACUUCAGAAAUUUCAAGCUAUUGGUAAUCAUCGGUAUGAUUAGCUCUUUUUUUUCUUCUUUUCUUGUUUUUUUAUUCCCUGAGCUUCAGCCAGGUAGAAGUCUUUUAAAUACAGAAUGAUGUCUCAUUCCAACUUGCACAGUACAGCUUGUUCUCUUUCACCCCAAGCUGAGACUUUUCAGGGUUAAUUUAUUCAUCUAAUUGUUGGAUGCACAUGUGGUAUUGCAGUCCACAGUGAUUUUAUGGACUUAAGGCUAUGGUAAUGACUUAAUAAACAUGCAUGUGUACAUGAUUUGAAGGCCAUAUAUUCUCUUGAAUGUAAUAUUUCAGAAAAGACAGCAUGAAAAAUAAAAGAGUGGCCAGAGGCGUAUCUCAGUAGAGGUGUGAAAUGCUGAGCUUUUAGUAUUUUUUCCAAAUUAAAGACUCUGUUUAGAAAAGGUAUUACCUGUCCGGUUUCCUGACAGUCUGUGAACAUUUGAAUAAUCAACAGCAACAGGGCUUUUUGGGGUCCCUUUGCCUCCAUGCUGUUCUUUUGAGCCCUUCUCUAGCUUCUUAGUAUUGGUGUGUGCUUAUCCACGGGAAAGCAUGGCUGAACUGAUGAAGAAAAGGAACGGGAUAAGUUUGAUGGACAGCAUUCAUAAGAUGUGUAUUAAAAAUCUGUGAUGCUGCUGCUGAGAGAGUGAAGGGGGUGGGGUGGAAAGGAGAAGUUUCAGGGGCUGGUGAACUAAGCUACACCAGCUUAAACAAAACCCAACACAAAAGCACCACCUCUUUUAACGUGCACUCAUUUAACACUAAGAGGAGGGCAGAUUGGACUUUGUAGCUGAUGGGCAGUCUGUUACUCUUGAAAGUUGAAAUGAUUCUUCAUCGUCCCUUUGACAAUUACCAAGUCUGAUGGUCCGGAUGCAACUUCCCCUUUGAGAAGUGCCCAAAUGGGCACUGCCCAUAUAAGAAGGUGUAUUUUUCCUGCAGCUGGAUGGGAGACAAAGUUUUUGAACUUAGAAAUCUAGAAUUAGAUCUUCAGCUCAAUUUGGAAUAAAACUCGUCUCAGGUUUUAAGCAGAACCUCGGUCUGGAUACGGGAAGCUCAGCUGCACACUGGGGUUUCACCUGUGCUUUGCGACUCUGCUUCCUCCAAGCUGUAACCUGAAAAUGACACACUGCAUAUUCUGGCCAUCACUUGAGAUGUAAAAAUCCUCUUUGAUCAUGUUGCCCAUCAUUUUGGUGAGGCAAGCUUCUGCCCAGAGGCUGUUUUGGCCUUCAUUGGAUUAGGCCCCCAGAGGGAUGCCUGUGAUCCCUCAACAGGCUUUGGGUUUGAUGUUUAUUGCUCCUCAGCCCCCUCAGGGGCUGGUCUGGGAGACAGGCCAGUGUGGGCUGUGAAUGUAGAUGUGAGGAAGUCUUGGGAUCUUUAGGAAAACUCAUGGUUCAUGGCAAGGACCAUCCCAGGGUCCUGAUGCCCUUGACUUUGCUGUAUGCAUUUCUGCACCCAACCCCACCUUUGAAAGUUCACUAUGCUGAAGGAGCACUUUUUGUCUUUUUUUUUCCUUCUGCCUAAACGAUGGCAUUUUCUCUCCAAAAAGAUGAUACUUCUUAGAGGAAGGGCCAAUGAAAGAUGGCACAUGAAUUUUUCUCUUAUUCUGCCAUGACUUUGAGGCACCAACGAGAUAUUCCUCACUGCCCCCUUCACUUCCAUUUACUUUUGGCAAAAUAAGCCAAGUUUAACGGAUCUUUCCUUUAAAACCAGGAGCUAGAACUGAAAGUUCAGGCACCAGGUUGUGACCCCUUCGAAAUCUGUGUUGUUUAUGGCUGUUCGCUGCCGUGGCAAGGGCAGCACCACUCUCCCACUUGCUUGAUCCAGAGGCAAUAGUGAUGUUAUCAUGGCUUUCAGUUGGUUUUAUUUGGUCUGGCAGAAGGUGUGAUGUAGUAGUCUCCCACUUUUGCAUUUGCUGCCCUGCAUACUUAACGAGCAGGAGCAGUGUCUGUGCUGUCCCUGCAGACCAGCUAUAAGUCUUACUUAACAGGUGCUCAGCAGUGCUGGAAGCUUAAGGGUAAUAUCCAACAGGCACUGCCCUUGGCGUGCAGCAGCGUGCCUUCAUUCAGACUGUAGUGCCUGUGCUUCUCGCUGCUUCCCAGCCUCAUUAUUUUUCAUUUUUCUACUGCUAGUUUUGCUAGUAAGAUCCCAUUUGUCAAAACUGCUUUAUCGAAACAGGGAGAAGAUUGGGUUAGGGGAUUGUGGUGCAUAGUUUCUCAAAGGAUGAAGUUACUUCCAUAGCACAAGAUCACAUCAGCCAAGAACUGAAGGUGACUGCAAGCACAUUCAGGUGAAUGCCAUUCAUUAUUUGUACGUACAAAGAAGAUGAAGCUAUUCCUCUUUGCCCUCUUGGGAGGUGCUAUUUAAAUGAGGAAAAGGCAGGUCUUUCUUCAAAGAGCGUACAAGCUAGCCAAACAAGGCAAGGACAGGAGAAAAUAAAUAUUACCCUGACUCCUGAGAUCAAAUCAAGGCUGGAAGAUGCUUAAUGAUUUGCCUGAGGUGAUGUAAGUAGUCCAUAGAAGAAUGGAGGUAGGAACUGAACCCAGAGCCUCUGACCUGGUGAGCAGUGUCCUCUGAGAUGGUGUGUGGUCAGGAAAAUGGCAACAUAGCAAACGUGAGCUUUUGCCUAUGAACUCUGACACCUUGAGAAAAAGUGACAGCAUAAAAAAAAUCUAUCUUAUUCCUGACAAUAUUUUCCUCGUGUUACAUCUAUUCUCCCUCCCUUCCCCAAAACACGCAAUUUCCUGUAUUUUUACUGUUACUGUAUUUAAUAGCUAAUCUAAUGGUUAUCUUUGAUAGCAAAAUAUUUCAAAAUACAACUUCCUCUCUCUAAAACUUCCUGAGGAGGGUGAGUGGAGAGGAGAUGCAGGGCUCCUCUCCUUGGUAACUGAUGAUAGGACACAUGGGAAUGGCACAGAGCUGUGCCAGGGCAAUUUCAGACUAGACAUAAGGAAAAAAUUCUUUACUGCAAGGGCAGUCAAACACUGGAACAGGCUUCUGAAUGAGGUUGUUGGUGCCCUUGAACACUGCCUCUCAGUGCUCAAGAGACAUUUGCUCAGUGCCUUCAAUCAUAUGCUUUAACUUUUGGUUAGCAAUGAAGUGGUCAGGCAAAGACAGGUUGAUCUUCGAAGCUCCCUUCCAACUAAACUAUUCUGUCCUAUCCUGUACUGUCCUAUUCUGAAUUUUAGGAGGAAUUUUUUUCACACAGAGGGUGGUGAUGCACUGGAACAGGUUGCUCAAGGAGGUUGUGGAUGCCCCAUCCCUGGAGGCAUUCAAGGCCAGGCUGGAUGUGGCUCUGGGCAGCCUGGUCUGCUGGUUGGUGACUCUGCACAUAGCAGGGGGGUUGAAACUGUGGUCCUUUUAAACUCAGGCCAUUCUGUGAUUCUAUUAAUUUCCUGAACGUUCCAGAAUUCUGGAUCUCAGAAACAUGUUCAAGUUAAGGAAUGGGAAUAUGCUGGCAUUUUUUACAGGGCAUUCUUCUGGUGAAGAAUGAGGAGCUUUGUACUUUGUACAGUAUUUUAAGAUUGUCCCUUCCUUCAUUAUCAUAUUUUAUAUAGUUAAAAAUAGGAGUUAUAUUCACUGUGUUGGAAUAUAAGCUUGCAAUACACUGUGUAGUUAUCAGAAAGACUGUUCUUAAUUACCUGCAAAAAAACAUUUAUUGUCUGAGGUACUCUAUGAAUAUUAUCCCUUAAUUAGCUGCCUUAUUUCAGCUAAAUUAAAGAAAGAAAGAACAUUCACCAUGAACACUUUUUUUAAAAAAAUAUUAUUAUUAUUAGCACUAACUCUAUCCUCUGCAAUGGAAAAGAGAAAUGAAAGUACUUUAUUCUUUCACUGAGCUGAGGUGUAAGGUUUUGUUUUCUGAUGAGUUUGUGCUUAACUCUGCUUUUCUAAGAGCCACUUGAAACGGAGCACAGGCUGGAUUUUUAACCCGUGGUUGUGAAGGCAGCUCCAUUUUGAAGAAGGAAGUUCAGUAAUUGCCUCCUGACAGACCUCCCUGUCAAUUCUCCGGGAUAUCAGGGCUGGAUUGUUUGCUGGGAAAACGUCUAAAGUCAACAGAGGGAGGUACUGGAAAUAGCAUUCAGAUGGGCAGGGGAUAUCUAGUGGGUCAGAUGGAAGCACAUGAAAGAGUCAUGCUGAAGCCAGGUAAGGAACCAUUUAACAACUGUGUAACUGUGCCUCCUUUUUGGCUACCAGACUUUCCCUGGAGCUUUGACCUGCUAGCCAGCAGUGAGCAUGCCUGCUGCUGGUAGAUGCAAAGGUUUUUCUGUUGACUUACCCUUGGCUUAGGUGUGAAAACCUUGCCUUGAGGUUGAGGGUAAUUACUACUGCAUAGCAGAGACAUGUGGGGCUGAUUAGUUUUGGACUAGAUAGGGAGAGGGUAGAUGGUUCUCAGUUGGAAAUGAAAAUAGGAGGGAUGCUUUGUUCUGGGAAAGUGCGUGCUUAGGCUGAGGCUUUUUUCCAGACAAGGAUUUUAGUACCCAGGGCACAACAGAGGUAAAAUUAGGUCCUGUAGGCCAAAACUGUAAUGUCAACCAGCUGCUACCUAACUCUGUGGGUGUCUGGGUUCAGUAUCUGUCUUUGACCUCUCAGGUCUCUAAAUAUCUGGUUCAGUGCUCUGUGUGCCCUGUGCUGCCCUGCCUCAGUGAUAAGUAGGAUGACGUUUAGGUUCCCUAGCAAUGCUAAGUGCUGGACAGCAGCUCACGUGUAUGAAUGAAACACUAUCCAAGCUGAAACUGAAUCUCACCCCAGAAGAAGUGACUAAAUAUAUAUUUUUGUCAUUGUCCUCUUUCUUCUUUUUUAUUUUGGUUUAGAAAACUUUGCUUUUAUACUUCCCUGUAACACUUUAUUUUUACUUUUUUUUUUUGCAGUAGUGUGGAGUAAUCCUAUGAGAAUGACCAUGGCUGUCUUUACUGAUGUGGGAGGAGGGCAGAAGGAAUGACUUCAGUGCUGCUUUAAUUACUGAUCUCACUAACUGCCCUCCAAACCAGCAGGGUUUUGCCCGGAGCUGUUUCCAAAAGCCAGAAUGCGCUUCUGUAACUGAUUUACACCUGAAAGGGUGGCUCUGAUGGUUCCCCAGUAUGGAUUUUUACCCCAGUGAAGCUUGUACUUCUGGUAACAGAAAUCAAAGACUGUAAGUGUAUCCUGCCUGGACUGCUCACAUUGCUGGUGACAAGUGAUGCGAAAGUGACUGCACUGUCAGCUACUGGAAGCCUCAGGCAACGUGCAGCAGGGAUUGCUGCAUAGGAGGAUGGAGUUGGUCUCCUCAGCCCCUUGUCUGGUUGUGUGGUCCACAGACAUCUGCUGCAAUACAGCUGCACACCUUCGCCUGGAGUGGAGGCUGUCCUCAGUCAUCCUGGAAGAGAAAGAAAGAAAGAAAGCUGUCCACCCUUUUCAGAAACCACUGAUUUUCCAUUGUAAAGAAAGAAUGAAAAAAACAAACAGAAGUUCCUUGCUUGCUGAUUGAUUUCGAAGGAAGAAAAUCUGCCCGGAGCAUCCACUGUUCCUGCGUGGGUGAUGAAGCGUUUGCUCUGGGAGCUUUGGUCACUCUGCCACUCACUUGCAAGGCACCGGGAAGCUGCUCUGCAUUCAGCAAUGCUGCAGUACCUUGUGGCUUGAGGUGCACUUGAUGAACAAGGUUGAACUGGAAUCUUUGAGCAGGAAUCCUCCUAAGCCUGAACACUGCCUAACUGGUGAAGAGUGAAGUGGGAAAUACAUACUUGUGAGCUCUGGGGCUCCUGUGGCUGGCGGACACUGCAACAAGAUCCAGCACAGCCCACAGGACUUUGAACUCAGUUUUCUCUUUGGAACAGCCUCCCCAGAUGAACUCUGAGCCUGGAUUUGAUGUUCCACACACGGUUUUGUCACAGCCCUGUGCUGUGCUGCCUGAGUGGCACCGAUGUGCAGUAAAGACCCAGCUGGCUGAGCACUUUCAGGACAAACAGGGAAGACAAUUUACUAUCUGAUUUUACGAGAGCCAUUUGCACUUUGCAGAAUUUUUUAAGCAGCAAAACCCUUAAGAGGCAUGUUCUGAGCCUGGUACCUCGGAGAAUUGCACACACAUUUCCUGUCAGCAGCCGGAGAAUGGUGUCUCACACCUGCUAUGAAGAGAUUGAAAUAUAUUCUUAAUGGCUUGAUUGCUUUGCAUUUCCCUGGAGAUGGGAUGACACACUGUGGCGUGGUUUCUUUUCCACAAGGAGCAUCCUGAACAGCGUGGCAGAGCUGAUGCUCGCUCGUACUGAUGCUCCCUGGGAUUUAACCUGUGCUUAAGAUCUAGCUAUGCUCAUAGGGAUGCUCUGGGCCUGGGAGGCAGCAGACAUGGAUCAUAGGUGGUUGCAGGCAGGAUCCUGCACUAGGACUGGUUUAAAGGUCAGCUGAUGGCUGGGCUAAAUGCCCAGAGGAAAACAUCCCUAAAAUGGAUGCUUUGCUGCAUGCAUCAUCCUGGGCAGCACUCUGAAAACCAGCAGUGAGAGAAGUUAAAACACAUUCUUUAGUUGCCUACCUCCAUGUGGUUUGUCAGAGCAUCCCAGCACCGCCAUGUGAAUGCUGCAGUGAUGCCAGGAGGACACCUUCCCACCUUGGCCAGUUACAGCCAGCACAUACCAGGGAAUGGCAGAAUAGGCCUUCCCCUGCAUCUGCCCCACUGUGAUGCUCCACCCAAAGGCUGUCCCUGUCAGCGAUGAACCUGUUAUCACACAUCAAAUAUUCAGCAACCAAAUACCAUCCAUUUCCAAGAGGCUUGAGCCCCAACCUCUUUGUUGCAUGGGAAGGAGGUGCACUAAAGGAUGACAGGCACUUCUGUAGGGUACCCUUUUAUUUCAGCAUCUUGAACAGCUGCAUGUCACCAGCCAUUAUCCUGCAGACCUCUGUACCACCCCACCUCACCACACACCCAACCCAUGGAAUGGUUUCUAAUUUUGGCAGAAGACGCUGUGGUUUCUGCUGAACGUGGUGGAAGUUGGGAGCUUUCAUCCCAUGGGAACACAGCGCAGUCCCAUAUCAGACUGAUACGAAAAGGAAACAGCGGUGCUUUUCUGCCUCAGAAUGUUUCUGUUUUUCAGACACCUGAAUAUAAACUCUGUAAAAAGGAAUUAUAUUAGAUAUGUAAAUAUUAAUAUUUAUGAAAUAAAUCCCAAAGUUUCAACUCUU